AGAGUUUGAUCUGGCUCAGAACGACGCUGGCGGCGCGUUGUAAGCAUGCAAGUCGAGCGGCAAGGGCCUUCGGGCCCCUAGAGCGGCGGACGGGUGAGUAACACGUGGACAAUCUGCCCCCGCCCGGGAUAGCCCAGGGAAACCUGGAUUAAUACCGGAUGAGACGGGACCCGCGAAGGCGGACCCGGAAGGCGCUGCGGCGCCGCCGGGGGAUGAGUCUGCGUCCCAUUAGCUAGACGGCGGGGUAACGGCCCACCGUGGCGACGAUGGGUAGCCGGCCUGAGAGGGUGGACGGCCACAUUGGAACUGAGACACGGUCCAGACUCCUACGGGAGGCAGCAGCUAAGAAUCUUCCGCAAUGGGCGAAAGCCUGACGGAGCGACGCCCGCGUGAACGAAGAAGGCCGUGAGGUUGUAAAGUUCUUUUCGGGAGGGGGAACAACCGUGGCAGGGAAUGGCCGCGGGAUGACGUGAAUCCCGGAAUAAGCCCCGGCUAACUACGUGCCAGCAGCGGC
RNAcentral lists this ribosomal RNA (514 nucleotides) under uncultured bacterium. RNAcentral describes it as "bacterial SSU rRNA". It matches the Rfam family "Bacterial small subunit ribosomal RNA", at positions 8 to 518 of the family's 1533-position model. The record is from RNAcentral.